RNAcentral lists this ribosomal RNA (429 nucleotides) under Bacillota bacterium. Its description in RNAcentral is "Firmicutes bacterium partial 16S ribosomal RNA". It matches the Rfam family "Bacterial small subunit ribosomal RNA", at positions 355 to 776 of the family's 1533-position model. The record is from RNAcentral. Lineage: Bacteria; Bacillati; Bacillota.
UAGGGAAUCUUCGGCAAUGGACGGAAGUCUGACCGAGCAACGCCGCGUGAGUGAAGAAGGUUUUCGGAUCGUAAAGCUCUGUUGUUAGAGAAGAACGUUGGUAGGAGUGGAAAAUCUACCAAGUGACGGUAACUAACCAGAAAGGGACGGCUAACUACGUGCCAGCAGCCGAGGUUAUACGUAGGUCCCGAGCGUUGUCCGGAGUUAUUGGGCGUAAAGCGAGCGCAGGCGGUUCUUUAAGUCUGAAGUUAAAGGCAGUGGCUUAACCAUUGUACGAUUUGGAAACUGGAGGACUUGAGUGCAGAAGGGGGGAGUGGAAUUCCAUGUGUAGCGGUGAAAUGCGUUGAUAUAUGGAGGAACACCGGUGGCGAAAGCGACUCUCUGGUCUAUAACUGACGCUGAGGCUCAAAAGCGUGGGGAGCAAACAGG